Hippocampus zosterae (dwarf seahorse) is the source of this 270-nucleotide long non-coding RNA. RefSeq lists it as uncharacterized. The record is from RefSeq and is a predicted model, not a curated record. The transcript is spliced from 2 exons. NCBI's taxonomy places the organism in Eukaryota, Metazoa, Chordata, Actinopteri, Syngnathiformes, Syngnathidae.
CCUCUCGCCAGCACUUGGAACACAGGCCCUGCCAAGCUGUGUUGCCAUAAAAACCACAUCCUUUGGUACAAAGCAGAUCGGACUGGUCCAGAUGGAUCCGACGACGUUCAGACCGCUGGGCCAUCAUUCUUCAAACACAACUAAAAACGAAAACAUCAGGUUUUGCUGACAAUGUAUCCGAAGAAGUCCUCAAUCAACUUCUGUACCAUCUUCUCGAGGAUGACAUCUUAAAUGAUGGCGAGGUACAGCACAUAAUUCAGGCGAACAUGA